Molecule: ribosomal RNA, 494 nt
Filed under: uncultured bacterium
Lineage: Bacteria
Description: partial 16S ribosomal RNA
Rfam family: Bacterial small subunit ribosomal RNA
Source: RNAcentral
GACGAACGCUGGCGGCGUGCUUAACACAUGCAAGUCGAACGGAAAGGCCUGCUUUCCCUUGUGGAUUGCGGGUACUCGAGUGGCGAACGGGUGAGUAACACGUGAGUGAUCUGCCCCCAACUUGGGUAUAAGCCUGGGAAACUGGGUCUAAUUCCCGAUAGGACUGCAGGGUGGUGCCUGUGGUGGAAAACGAUUUUCUAGUGGUUGGGGAUGAGCUCGCGGCCUAUCAGCUUGUUGGUGGGGUAAUGGCCUACCAAGGCGGCGACGGGUAGCCGGCCUGGGAGGGUCGACGGCCACAUUGGGACUGAGAUACGGCCCAGACUCCUCCGGGAGGCAGCAGUGGGGAAUCUUGCACGAUGGGCGGAAGCCUGAUGCAGCGACGCCGCGUGGGGGAUGCCGGCCUUCGGGUUGUAAACUCCUUUCGACCGCGAGGAAGCCACCUGGUUGGAAGGGUGGUGACGGUAGUGGUAGAAGAAGCACCGGCUAACUACGUG